AGGAAAAGAAACUAACAAGGAUUCCCUCAGUAACGGCGAGUGAACAGGGAAAAGCCCAGCACCGAAGCCUGUGGCCAUUUGGUCAUUAGGCAAUGUGGUGUUCAGGUCGUUCCGCAGAAGCACUGCUCCACCCCAAGUCCAGCAAUGAGUACGGUAGUACGGACAUGGCCCAUUGAGGGUGAAAGGCCCGUUCGGGUGGAGUUUCGGCAGGCCAGUGCUUCUCUGGGUAGACCUUGGAGUCGGGUUGUUUGUGAAUGCAGCCCAAAGUGGGUGGUAAACUCCAUCCAAGGCUAAAUACAAGCACGAGUCCGAUAGCGAACAAGUACCGUGAGGGAAAGUUGAAAAGUACUUUGAAGAGAGAGUAAACAGUGCGUGAAACCGCUCAGAGGUAAGCAGGUGGAGUUGAACUGCAAGCUCUGAGAAUUCAGCUGGUGAGGGUGGUUUGAGCUUGGUCAAAUUGGUUGGACCCCAUGGUAUGUUCAGUUGCAUGUCUCUACUCUCGGGUGGGGAUGCGCGAUACACUCACCAAGUGUUGCGCGCCUUGGGUGUUCUUCGGACCUCCUCGCCAGUGCACUUUCUCAGAGUGGUCACCACGACCGGCGCUGCUGUCAGGCUGUCGCGGUUAAACCGGCCUUGUAGUGUCCUUGUGGUAUUGCUUGGUCGGGAUGGCAGGUAGCUCGUUGGUUUGCUUCGGCUUGCUUUCGAGUGUAAUCAGCUAACCAUGAUGGUUCUGUGCAGUGCGUCGGAGACGGCGGCUUGUGGUGUUUGCAUGCGUGCCCGAUUUGCCGGCGGUUCCCGGUUUGGUUGUUAUGUUGCUUGUGCAAGCAGGCCUAUCAAUGGCUGGGAUUCGUUCGGUGGAUGGUUGCGUGUGUGACAUUGUUCCAAGGGCCAAUAGUCUGUGGUGUAGUGGUAGACGAUCCACCUGACCCGUCUUGAAACACGGACCAAGGAGAGUAACAUGUGCGCGAGUCAUUGGGCGUAAC
Molecule: ribosomal RNA, 983 nt
Filed under: Otongatrema caenolestesi
Lineage: Eukaryota; Metazoa; Platyhelminthes; Trematoda; Plagiorchiida; Dicrocoeliidae
Description: partial large subunit ribosomal RNA
Rfam family: Eukaryotic large subunit ribosomal RNA
Source: RNAcentral